RNAcentral lists this ribosomal RNA (465 nucleotides) under Vreelandella stevensii. RNAcentral describes it as "partial 16S ribosomal RNA". It matches the Rfam family "Bacterial small subunit ribosomal RNA", at positions 338 to 795 of the family's 1533-position model. The record is from RNAcentral. Lineage: Bacteria; Pseudomonadati; Pseudomonadota; Gammaproteobacteria; Oceanospirillales; Halomonadaceae.
CCUACGGGAGGCUGCAGUGGGGAAUAUUGGACAAUGGGCGAAAGCCUGAUCCAGCCAUGCCGCGUGUGUGAAGAAGGCCUUCGGGUUGUAAAGCACUUUCAGUGGGGAAGAAAGCCUUGGGGCUAAUACCCUCGAGGAAGGACAUCACCCACAGAAGAAGCACCGGCUAACUCCGUGCCAGCAGCCGCGGUGAUACGGAGGGUGCGAGCGUUAAUCGGAAUUACUGGGCGUAAAGCGCGCGUAGGCGGUCUGAUAAGCCGGUUGUGAAAGCCCCGGGCUCAACCUGGGAACGGCAUCCGGAACUGUCAGGCUAGAGUGCAGGAGAGGAAGGUAGAAUUCCCGGUGUAGCGGUGAAAUGCGUAGAGAUCGGGAGGAAUACCAGUGGCGAAGGCGGCCUUCUGGACUGACACUGACGCUGAGGUGCGAAAGCGUGGGUAGCAAACAGGAUUAGAUACCCUAGUAGUC